AAUGGUAUAAUUCGACAUUUAAAUGCACUUUCGUUGUUCUUAGGUCUUCUCUUCCAGUAGUACCCACAUUGUGAAGUCAGACAGACGUCGAACCCAUUUUUCAUCUUAUUAACAUUCAGUCAAGUUCUACGUGAGAGGAGGCUGACAGGUGAAAAUGGAAAGAGAGGUAACGUCAAGAACAUUGACAAGGCUCAGGAGAACAACACGGGAUUUUGGUGGUAAGUAUUGAUGAAAUUAGAACACAUUUACAGAUAUAUUUGCCAGCCCUUUUAACAGGUAAAAUAGAUUUGUAGUGCUUGUUUAAAUAAUUGUGUAGGCUUUUGGUAAACCUUGUGAUUCGGGAGCCAUUUUAUCCAAACUGUAAAGUUAUACAUAAGACUUGUACAUUGUAAAUGCCAGGACGAAAUCUUACAGUAAGAAGAGUUUUCACCAUUUUAUAUCCAUCAAUCUACAUUUGCAAUAUGUUUUUUUUUCAGUCAGAGAAUGUAAGUAUUGAAGAAAUCAAGAAAUGACAAAACGUACCCAUGUCAACCUUUAAAUUAUGAACAUUAAACUGCAGUGUUUUGAUAAUCAUUUGUGUACGCUUUUGGUUAACAAGGUAAAUUGGAAACGGUUUAUCCAAUUACAACUUCCAAUUUUCAUUAAGAUUUUCACAUUGGCAAAUACUCCCCAGAUGUUUAAAGAUAUUUUA
This is a long non-coding RNA of Lingula anatina, 691 nucleotides long. The record is from RefSeq and is a predicted model, not a curated record. Lineage: Eukaryota; Metazoa; Brachiopoda; Lingulata; Lingulida; Lingulidae.